RNAcentral lists this ribosomal RNA (470 nucleotides) under uncultured soil bacterium. RNAcentral's name for it is "bacterial SSU rRNA". It matches the Rfam family "Bacterial small subunit ribosomal RNA", at positions 26 to 518 of the family's 1533-position model. The record is from RNAcentral.
AGAACGAACGCUGGCGGCAUGCCUAAUACAUGCAAGUCGAACGAACUCUUCGGAGUUAGUGGCGCACGGGUGCGUAACGCGUGGGAAUCUGCCCCUUGGUUCGGAAUAACAGUUGGAAACGACUGCUAAUACCGGAUGAUGACGAAAGUCCAAAGAUUUAUCGCCAAGGGAUGAGCCCGCGUAGGAUUAGCUAGUUGGUGAGGUAAAGGCUCACCAAGGCAACGAUCCUUAGCUGGUCUGAGAGGAUGAUCAGCCACACUGGGACUGAGACACGGCCCAGACUCCUACGGGAGGCAGCAGUAGGGAAUUUGGACAAUGGGCGCAAGCCUGAUCCAGCAAUGCCGCGUGCAGGAUGAAGGCCUUCGGGUUGUAAACUGUCUUUUGUACGGAACGAAAGGUCCUUUACUAAUACAAGGGCCAGUGACGUACCGUAAGAAUAAGCACCGGCUAACUACGUGCCAGCAGCUGAC